Molecule: long non-coding RNA, 516 nt
Filed under: Malus domestica (apple)
Lineage: Eukaryota; Viridiplantae; Streptophyta; Magnoliopsida; Rosales; Rosaceae
Description: long non-coding RNA (MDOM_LNC020472)
Source: RNAcentral
CAAUUUGUAAGUGAAGAAUCAUGGCACAUUAAGUGUCCAUGCCUUUGUGCUUUCUUCUCAAGUUCUUUGUUCAUAUAACAAAGAAACAAGCACUAGUGUUUGCAUUGACUAAGGGUUGUUCAAGGCAACUCUUAUUUCUUCAUAUAACAAUUUGUAAGUGAAGAAUCAUGGCACAUUAAGUGUCCAUGCCUUUGUGCUUUCUUCUCAAGUUCUUUGUUCAUAUAACAAAGAAACAAGCACUAGUGUUUGCAUUGACUAAGGGUUGUUCAAAGCAAUUCUUAUUUCUUCAUACAACAAUUUGUAAUUGAAGAAUAAUGACAUUAAAAGUGUUGUCCUCUUUAUGAUAGACCUUUUCUAACAUAUUCUUCUAAUGAUACAUUAUCAAUAGGAAGAUUGUGAGGAUGAGACUACUUAGGUACAUUUACAAGCCAUUAAAGACAAUCUAUGGUUUUAUAGUACCAAGUCCGGAAACUAAACUUUCGGCUUUAUUUGUCAAGUGUUGGAUAGCGUUUGCAA